CCGCAAUAGGGAUGGAAACGGAAAUCCUUUUUUUGGAUGGGGAUUUUUGGUGCUGGAAAAAAAAGAUUGCAGUGUACAGCCCGACCCGAG
Molecule: small RNA, 90 nt
Filed under: Chryseobacterium koreense CCUG 49689
Lineage: Bacteria; Pseudomonadati; Bacteroidota; Flavobacteriia; Flavobacteriales; Weeksellaceae
Description: Flavo-1 RNA
Rfam family: Flavo-1 RNA
Source: Rfam by way of RNAcentral